UUUCCCAGGCGAGGUGCCGCCGGAGUACUACGAAUGUUUAAAAUUCAAAGAACUUGGCGGUCGACUAACCUACCAGGGGAACAUGUGCCUUAAUUCGAUGAUCCACGAUGUACCUUACCUUGCCUUGUAAAGAGUCAGCCGCUAUACCGCCGUUGUUUUUUCAGUAAAGCGAAGCUUAGAGGGGGAGGAUCCCACCACAAGGCAGGUUUAGGUAGCGCCCAAGGCGAGGGGAGUAUGUGUUACAACCCUGACUUUGGAUUACGGGCGGAGAUGAAGGUGAACUUGGCAGUAAAUCGAGAGUAAUGAGCUUGGUUGAAGAGAUGAAA
This 326-nucleotide ribosomal RNA is filed under the name Limaria hemphilli. Its description in RNAcentral is "partial 12S ribosomal RNA". The record is from RNAcentral. Lineage: Eukaryota; Metazoa; Mollusca; Bivalvia; Limoida; Limidae.